Molecule: long non-coding RNA, 586 nt
Filed under: Equus caballus (horse)
Lineage: Eukaryota; Metazoa; Chordata; Mammalia; Perissodactyla; Equidae
Description: lncRNA (ENSECAG00000056502.1)
Source: RNAcentral
CUUGCUAGCUGCAAGGGGGGCUGGGAAAUGUAGUCUGUGGCUAGGCAGCCGCUUCCCAGUGACAACUGCACACGGAGGAGGGGGAGCAUGAGUGUUCAGUCGACAGGUGGCCAUCUUUGCCCCAGCUGGGAGCGGGCCUGAAGCAGGAAAUGCCCUGUCUCCAGCAGGUUCUAGGAACACGCUCCCACAAAUGGUGCCAAUACAUUGGCCUUGGGAGAAUCAUUAGGGUUGCCUGGCACAAGGGCAAUGCCCCACACAUCUCUCUCAUCUCUUCUUUCCUUCAUCGCCCGGCUGCUAAGCCUUGCCCGGCUUACCCCCUUCAGACAUAAGUCGCCCACCCCUGACUUGCUUGUGUUUGGGGGUCCAGGUGAGAGGCACUUGGUAGCCAUCCCCAUGAUUCCCUGACAUCACCAGCCAAGAUAGGGGAUGCUCAGGAGGAGGAGCGGGUUUGGGGUGCGGCGCGUGAGGCCAGUUCCAGUCAGGCCGCGUGUGGCAUAUCUGAUGGAGCUCAACGCCUGGGCUGGUGGUGGAGACUUAAGGGUCUUCAGACUCUUCCACUGGGAAGGAAUAAUAAUUGUAAUAAUAA